Molecule: long non-coding RNA, 1662 nt
Filed under: Anolis carolinensis (green anole)
Lineage: Eukaryota; Metazoa; Chordata; Lepidosauria; Squamata; Anolidae
Description: lncRNA (ENSACAG00000039895.1)
Source: RNAcentral
AAAUAAAGAUUAUUAUUAUUAUUAUUAUUAUUAUUAUUAUUAUUAUUAUUAUUCCUUUGGUCUUGUUAUAACUUUCUCUUUACGAUUAAUGCAGGAGGGGGUUGGACAACAUGGCCUUUAGGGGUCUCUUCCUACUCCAACAAGCUUCCAACAAUAAUUAUUCACAUCACAACAAUAAUUAUUCACAUCCUCCUGGGUUAUAAAUGUCACUUCCUAAUUAGUUCUAUCAUUAAAAAAUUUGAAUAAGUUUUUUAAACUGCAAAAACUUAUGUAGUAUUUGAAGGGCAUAUCCUGAGAUUGAUAUUUGCAGCAUUUUAAUGUUUUAAUGAUUUAUAUAGGGUUUUAAUGGCAUGUUUUAUAUUGUAUUUGAUGGUCUGGCUUUUGUGUAUUUGUUUGUUUGUCUGCAUGCAAAAGACCUAUGCUAUAAGCAUUAAAUAAAAUUGGAAUUUGGUAUUUGUUUUGGCGGGAGGGUCAUCCUGCCACACAUUUUGCUGGUUUUUUGCUAUAUCGUCCAGUCUCAACGAAUUCCACACUGUGGCAGCCACAAAAAUGAAGUUUCUGGCGUGUAACAACCACUUUCAAUGUAAGUACAACACAAUGAAACAGGAAAUCACACUUUCAAUACAGGAACAGAAAAUUUUUCAUAUUGUUACAUAGUGUUAUUUGUGCCUCUGUAGAAGUCCUGUGUUUUUGAGAGAGGUUCUCCUUCCAUCUCUUCUGAAAGUGUCCUAGACCUGACGUCACUCAUUCCCUGUCCUUUCCAACAUGGCCGCUUUCCACAGCCCUUUCCCUUCUAUUUGACCUUCUCGUCAUGGCCGACGAUUGGCUCUUCCUCCACUCCCUUCCCUUCGUCAAACAAGGAAGGGGCGUGGUCACAUCGCGCAUGCGCAAUGUCUGGGAUGGGCGUGUCCCUUGCCGCCAUUUUGUUGUGGCCGCCGGGCGGGCUGUUUCCGGGUUGGAAGGCCCUCAGCAGAGAGACCUUCUGAAGGAAGCUGACUACGGGAAUUGCAACCCUGGAAGGAUGCUGAGAAUGUGGUUAAACAAGUUUGGAGGAAAGCUUCAAACCGGUUUUAAGUAUGUAGACGUGAAAAGAAUGGCAUUUGUUAGGAGGCUUUUAAAAUUGUUUUUACAUAAGGUUUAUAUUCCAAAAUUGUGGAAAUCUGGACGCUUGUGCCUCAUUUCUAUUGUGUUUGGCAUCCAAGAGAAGGAAGGGUACAUCUGCCUUUUUAUUCCACCCUUGUUUUCUAUUUCCCAUUAUGUCUCUGAUUAAUUCAUGAAUUUAAAAAAUCUGAAAAGCAGAGGAAAGGUUAGUGGUAUUAAAGAAUGGUACAGCAUACAAAUGUUCUUCCAUAAUAUUUCUGUUUAGCCUUGAUUCUUAAAGAUUUCUUUUUCAAUCAAGCCAAACUUUUUGAUUUGCUUGUAGUUCUCUGAUGCAUUCUCUGUAUUACAGGACUUGGGGACUUUUGUAUAUAACUUGCGUAGUCUUUUAAGGCAUUUUAAACUAUAUAAGUCAUCAAAAUAAUCCCUAAUCUAUUAUACUUUGGUACAAUAGCUGGUGGGGAUGAUACAGAAUGUGGACAAAGCCUUUGGCAUGGAAUAGUGCAUUCUGUAUUCUGGCACCUUUUUCUAUUGUGUUUGCUGCUGUUUUUUGACAAAUUUGUA